AGUUAAAUCCAAAUAUGUAUCUUGAAAAUACACAAUAAAAUUAAAUUUUUAUUAACUU
RNAcentral lists this transfer RNA (58 nucleotides) under Ishiharodelphax matsuyamensis. RNAcentral's name for it is "tRNA-Ser". The record is from RNAcentral. Lineage: Eukaryota; Metazoa; Arthropoda; Insecta; Hemiptera; Delphacidae.